UCCAGACCUUACACCUAGAAUCGUAUGACCC
RNAcentral lists this non-coding RNA (31 nucleotides) under Homo sapiens (human). The record is from RNAcentral. Lineage: Eukaryota; Metazoa; Chordata; Mammalia; Primates; Hominidae.